Molecule: transfer RNA, 74 nt
Filed under: Podarcis lilfordi (Lilford's wall lizard)
Lineage: Eukaryota; Metazoa; Chordata; Lepidosauria; Squamata; Lacertidae
Description: tRNA.Ser
Source: RNAcentral
ACCUCUGUGGCACAAUGGGUCACUGCGUCUGGGUGCUAACCAGAAGGUUGGUGGUUCGAGCCCACCCAGGGAAG